UCCUGCCAGUGAUCACAUUCUUCGAUUAAAGAUCUAAGCCAUGCACGUGUAAGAACCUCGAGUUACUAGGGAGUCUGCGAAUGGCUCAGAAUAUAAUUUUUAACUUCCCCUAGAACAACUACUAUCGGAACUUCCGAGGUAAUUCAUGGGCUAACCCUGCACCAAAGCAAGUUUCGCAAGGAGCUUGUGCAUUUGUUAGUUUCAAACCAACAUUUUGAGAUGAAUCUUGACAAACUGCGGAUCCUCAUGUUGCAAAAGACGGAGGACGACUAGGAAAGGAUUAUUAGGUAUCAGUUCUCGUUGCAAGUGUAAGGCACUUGCAAGACGUUGACGCCUGACGGGGUGUUAGGGCACGGCCCCGGAGAGGGAGCCUGAGAGAUGGCUACCACAUCUAAGGAAGGCAGCAGGCGCGCAAAUUCUUCAAUAGCCAAAUGGCUGAAAGAGUGACGAUCAAUAACAAGGUGCGGCCCUUUGGGUUGUGCCAUUGGAAUGACAGCAAUUUAAAGAGUUCAAGGAGGAUCAACUGGAGGGCAAGUCUGGUGCCAGCAGCCGCGGUAAUUCCAGCUCCAGAAGGAUGUAUCAACGUUGUUGCAGUUAAAAAGCUCGUAGUUGAAUUUUGGGGGGUAUUUUUGGCUUGACGUUUAUCUGGGGCAACUCGGGUAUUCGGAGGGCAGCCUCCUUUCUGUGGAUUCACGUCUUGUGUGGGAUGGUUUACUCCGUUUUGCAUGGGAUGCCACUCAGUCACUGAGAGUAAAUUGGGGUGCUCAAAGCAGGCUUGAUAGCUUUGAACAUUUUAGCUUGGAAUGACAAAAUAUGACUAUCGUUUUAUUUUGUUGGUUAUGAAACGAGAGUAAUGAUUAACAGGAACAGUGCGGGGGUACUCGUAUUGUUAGGUCAGAGGUGAAAUUCUUGGAUUCUAACAAGACGAACGACUGCGAAAGCAUUUACCAAGGAUGUUUUCAUUAAUCAAGAACGAAAGCUCGGGGAUCGAAGAUGAUUAGAUACCAUCGUAGUC
RNAcentral lists this ribosomal RNA (1015 nucleotides) under uncultured soil eukaryote. Its description in RNAcentral is "SSU rRNA". It matches the Rfam family "Eukaryotic small subunit ribosomal RNA", at positions 12 to 1025 of the family's 1831-position model. The record is from RNAcentral.